CCCUUAGAUGUUCUGGGCUGCACGCGCGCUACACUGACGGAGUCAACGAGUUGUCCUGCAUCGGAAGGUGUGGGUAAUCUUUUGAAACUUCGUCGUGCUGGGGAUAGAUCUUUGCAAUUUUCGAUCUUGAACGAGGAAUUCCUAGUAAGCGUGAUUCAUCAGAUCGCGUUGAUUACGUCCCUGCCCUUUGUACACACCGCCCGUCGCUACUACCGAUUGAAUGGUUUAGUGAGGCCUCGGGACUGGCGCGCUCGAGUAGCAAUACACCUGCGCGCCGGGAACUUGGUCAAACUUGAUCAUUUAGAGGAAGUAAANGUCGUAACA
Molecule: ribosomal RNA, 324 nt
Filed under: uncultured eukaryote
Lineage: Eukaryota
Description: partial 18S ribosomal RNA
Rfam family: Eukaryotic small subunit ribosomal RNA
Source: RNAcentral